Molecule: ribosomal RNA, 406 nt
Filed under: uncultured bacterium
Lineage: Bacteria
Description: partial 16S ribosomal RNA
Rfam family: Bacterial small subunit ribosomal RNA
Source: RNAcentral
AUUGAACGCUGGCGGCAGGCCUAACACAUGCAAGUCGAACGAGUGGCGGACGGGUGAGUAAUGUCUGGGACACUGCCCGAUGGAGGGGGAUAACUACUGGAAACGGUUGCUAAUACCGCAUACCAUCGGAUGUUCCCAGAUGGGAUUAGCUAGUAGGUGGGGUAACGGCUCACCUAGGCGACGAUCCCUAGGUGGUCUGAGAGGAUGACCAGCCACACUGGAACUGAGACACGGUCCAGACUCCUACGGGAGGCAGCAGUGGGGAAGAUUGCGCAAGGGGCGGAAGCCUGAUGCAGCCAUGCCGCGGGUAUGGAGAAGGCCUUCGGGUUGUAAAGGACUUUCUGCGAGGUGGCGGUAAUCGCAGAAGAAGCACCGGCUAAAUCCGUGCCAACAGCCGCGGUAAUAC